GCAACCAAACAGAUAUUUCUUAUAACAACUUUUCUAAGCGCUCUAUGCCAUCUUCUUGUCGAGAAACCCUGAACUUGUUCCGAAGCUUUUCUGAAAGGGGAAAAUUAGAAUUUGAUGAGUGCCUGA
Molecule: long non-coding RNA, 126 nt
Organism: Vitis riparia (riverbank grape)
Lineage: Eukaryota; Viridiplantae; Streptophyta; Magnoliopsida; Vitales; Vitaceae
Exons: 3
Source: RefSeq, a predicted model, not a curated record